CCUACGGGUGGCAGCAGUGAGGAAUAUUGGUCAAUGGGCGCGAGCCUGAACCAGCGAAGUAGCGUGAAGGAUGACUGCCCUACGGGUUGUAAACUUCUUUUAUAAAGGAAUAAAGUGAGGCACGUGUGCCUUUUUGUCUGUACUUUAUGAAUAAGGAUCGGCUAACUCCGUGCCAGCAGCCGCGGUAAUACGGAGGAUCCCAGCGUUAUCCGGAUUUAUUGGGGUUAAAGGGAGCGUAGAUGGGUUGUUAAGUCAGGUGUGAAAGUUUGCGGCUAAACCGUAAAAUUGCAAUUGAUACUGGAAGUCUUGAGUACAGUUGAGGUAAGCGGAAUUCGUGGUGUAGCGGUGAAAUGCUUAGAUAUCACGAAGAACUCCGAUUGCGAAGGCAGCUUACUAAACUGCCACUGACAUUGAUGCUCGAAAGUGUGGGUAUCAAACAGGAUUAGAUACCCGAGUAGUC
RNAcentral lists this ribosomal RNA (460 nucleotides) under uncultured bacterium. Its description in RNAcentral is "partial 16S ribosomal RNA". It matches the Rfam family "Bacterial small subunit ribosomal RNA", at positions 338 to 795 of the family's 1533-position model. The record is from RNAcentral.